UUCUUAUCAAGAGAGGUGGAGGGAAAGGCCCAAUGAAACCCAGCAACACUAGCAUGAGCUAGAAUGUGCUAAAUCCUGCAGCCUAUGGCUGAAAGAUAAGAA
This 102-nucleotide non-coding RNA is filed under the name Clostridium sp. Its description in RNAcentral is "SAM-I sequence". It matches the Rfam family "SAM riboswitch aptamer (S box leader)". Rfam says of the family: The SAM riboswitch is found upstream of a number of genes which code for proteins involved in methionine or cysteine biosynthesis in Gram-positive bacteria. RNAcentral also lists the same sequence under 1 other name. Lineage: Bacteria; Bacillati; Bacillota; Clostridia; Eubacteriales; Clostridiaceae. The record is from RNAcentral.